UACGAAGGGGGCUAGCGUUGCUCGGAAUCACUGGGCGUAAAGCGCACGUAGGCGGAUUGCUAAGUCAGGGGUGAAAUCCUGGAGCUCAACUCCAGAACUGCCUUUGAUACUGGCGAUCUUGAGUCCGGGAGAGGUGAGUGGAACUGCGAGUGUAGAGGUGAAAUUCGUAGAUAUUCGCAAGAACACCGGUGGCGAAGGCGGCUCUCUGGGCCUUACCUGACGCUGAGGAGCGAAAGCGUGGGUAGCGAACAGG
RNAcentral lists this ribosomal RNA (253 nucleotides) under uncultured bacterium. RNAcentral's name for it is "partial 16S ribosomal RNA". It matches the Rfam family "Bacterial small subunit ribosomal RNA", at positions 524 to 776 of the family's 1533-position model. The record is from RNAcentral.